GACGUAGGGCGCGAGCGUUGUCCAGAUUUAUUGGGCGUAAAGAGCUCGUAGGCGGCUCGUUGCGUCGGCUGUGAAAACCCGCAGCUCAACUGUGGGCUUGCAGCCGAUACGGGCGGGCUGGGAUUCGGUAGGGGAGACUGGAAUUCCUGGUGUAGCGGUGAAAUGCGCAGAUAUCAGGAGGAACACCGGUGGCGAAGGCGGGUCUCUGGGACGGUACUGACGCUGAGACGCGAAAGCGUGGGGAGCGAACAGG
This 253-nucleotide ribosomal RNA is filed under the name uncultured bacterium. RNAcentral describes it as "partial 16S ribosomal RNA". It matches the Rfam family "Bacterial small subunit ribosomal RNA", at positions 524 to 776 of the family's 1533-position model. The record is from RNAcentral.